UCCAAUCCUGGCGACCUCGGCAACAAGC
This 28-nucleotide small RNA is filed under the name Bombyx mori (domestic silkworm). RNAcentral's name for it is "piRNA piR-bmo-2114290". Lineage: Eukaryota; Metazoa; Arthropoda; Insecta; Lepidoptera; Bombycidae. The record is from RNAcentral.